UAGGAAGGCAGCAGUGGGGAAUAUUGCACAAUGGGCGAAAGCCUGAUGCAGCUAUGCCGCGUGUAUGAAGAAGGCCUUAGGGUUGUAAAGUACUUUCAUCGGGGAGGAAAAAACAAAACUAAUAAUUUUAUUUCUUGACGUUACCCGAAAAAGAAGCACCGGCUAACUCCGUGCCAGCAGCCGCGGUAAUACGGAGGGUGCUAGCGUUAAUCAGAAUUACUGGGCGUAAAGAGCACGUAGGUGGUUUUUUUAAGUCAGAUGUGAAAUCCCUGGGCUUAACCUGGAACUGCAUUUUGAAACUGAAAUACUAGAGUAUCGUAGAGGGAGGUAGAAUUCUAGGUGUAGCGGUGAAAUGCGUAGAUAUCUGGAGGAAUACCUGUGGCGAAAGCGGCCUCCUAAACGAAUACUGACACUGAGGUGCGAAAGCGUGGGGAGCAAACAGGGAUUAGAUACC
This 454-nucleotide ribosomal RNA is filed under the name uncultured bacterium. RNAcentral's name for it is "bacterial SSU rRNA". It matches the Rfam family "Bacterial small subunit ribosomal RNA", at positions 341 to 786 of the family's 1533-position model. The record is from RNAcentral.